Sipha flava (yellow sugarcane aphid) is the source of this 2158-nucleotide long non-coding RNA. RefSeq lists it as uncharacterized. NCBI's taxonomy places the organism in Eukaryota, Metazoa, Arthropoda, Insecta, Hemiptera, Aphididae. The transcript is spliced from 3 exons. The record is from RefSeq and is a predicted model, not a curated record.
UCAGUUAAAUAUUUUUCAGAUAGACGAACAACUUUAUCUUCUAUUUCAAUCAAACCUCUAUUAAAUAUUUCAUCAGAAAAAGUUGCGAGUCAUUUAAUUGAGGGCGCUUUGUAUGAAGAAUAUCAUCACAAAAAUCAUUUCUGAACUGUUCCCACAAAGAUUGAAGUUCAGACGAUGGGCAGAAAAUUAUGAUUAUUGCGAAUAAUUCUCUUAACUUAGAAGGACUUUCUGAAACAGUUGCAUCCGCUAGAGCAUUUUUUCAUUACUCGUAAUUUUCUAAAAGCCCAAAAGUAAAACAGACAGCUUUAAAAAUCGCGUGAAUGACUUCAUCAAUGACCUUCAAGUUUUCAAAUGAAGUAGGAUCUUGUUCAUAAUUUAGUAACAAUCUUAAAUGUAAGCACUCACUUUGAUUUGGGUGAAUCGUAUAAAUUCUACCAAUGGCAAUGUCCAUUUUUAUUCCUGGCCAACCCGGAAUAUCUUUUCCCCGUCUUCUCUUUAACCAGCCUCUGCUAUCAUUCCAGGUAUAAGAGGUAUAAGAAGGAACUUCAUGAUAGAACCGUGUUUUCGCAAAAUCAUCAUGUGAGUUCAAAAAAUGUAAUUAGUAUCGUUUUUUCUUGGAUUUUCAAUAACUUGAUGAAGAUAAGCAAUAAAGAAAACACGCUGUCCAUUUUCUAAAUGAACAGCUAAGUGCUUAACUGUUGAAUCUCUAUCAUAAAUUUUAAAAUUGAAAGUUCUUCAAAACGCUUCAGAAGUACAUAUGUAUCGACCAUUCAAAUAAUUUGCAAUCUCAUCGUUUUCACUAUUAACAGAAAAAGUAGCUCUAUCUGAUCCUUUAUUAUCCUUAUCCUUUACUAAUGUAUUUACAUAUGUAUUUUAUUGUUUUAAUCGUAUUUUACGUUAAUAUGCGCAUUAAAGCACCUUGAUAGCAAUGGGCAAUUAGCACUGGGCAAUAUGGUACAACCCAACGGUUGUCGACCACGGUUUUAUUUGACUGUUUGACCUCGAACUUUUAAUAUUGUAGUAUAAACUCCAUCAUAUGGUGCUCUCCAUUAGUAAAUCGGAUAACCAUCAUCUCCAGUUUAAGUAUCUUUGACCAAUUUGCGAGGGUAUUUCUUACUACGUUUUCCAUUAUUCAUACAUGGUAAUUUAAUAUUUAACUCGCCACAUGAGCCAUGAAUCAUGUUCUUGCAUACUAUUUCAUAAAGUAUAGGAUCUCUGUCUUUGGUAUCUCGGCAGAAAUAAUUUUAUCUAUUUCAGCUGCUGAAUUUUCAUUUGUAACCAUAAAAGAAUUUGGCAGUGUGGCAAACCUCGUUUUUGCCAUUUAACACUAAAAAUAUUACUAUUUACAUAUCCGUUAAUAUAUUCAUUUUUUCAUACAUGCAUAUAUUUUUUUAGUUUAAGAUGAAAAACUUUAGAGAUUAUGUCGUGUUUAUCAAACAACUUUUGAUCUUGAAAUAAUUCAUUUUUUAUUUCCGGCCAUUCCGGAUUGCAUGUGAAAGUAAUAAAUAAAUCUGAACGGCCAAAUUUACGAACACAUGUCAUAAUAUCCAGAUUUUUUUCAUGCAUAUAACGUGGGGAGCCAGUAAAAGAAGAGGGAAUAAUUACUUAUUACCCCACGUUAUUAUCAUUAAUGGGCGAUUGCAAACUCCGCCGCAAUAUCGGUUAAGAUAAAAAGCAUCUCGGAGGUAAACAUAAUCAUCUGCAGGUAGUUGUUUUUGAUGGUUACGAACAAAGUGUAGUCUUUCAGUAAUCAUUUUUGUCAUCAUAUCCACGGCGAAACGACUGAAUAAGGUUUUGUAAUAAUAUAGAUGAUUUAGACUUAUUUUUCUAACCAUAAACAUGUGCAUUAUAUUGACCUUUGUGUUCUUCUUGAGGAACUCUAUCACCAUGAAUAAUUAACUUAAAGUCUUGCAACUCAUCAAACAACCUUGACUAUAGAAGAAAAAAGGUCAGGAUACAGGUAGCUGUAAACCCACGGGCCGCCGUGCCACACAAUAUUUAUAUAAUAUAGAUAUAUAGUUUUUUAAUUUUCCAAGAACUUUUAUACUUAUUUUUCUUUGAUAAAAGUGGUAUUAAAACCUUAAGCAGAGUGUCGGAUAUAACAGUGAAAAAUUUCAGCCAAAUCGGUUCAGUAGUUUUCUCGGUUAGUGCGGUCGUA